GAUUGGACACUGAGAGGUUCCUUAUCCUUCAUCAAUGGGAACUCCAUUAGUAGAUUGAUAUUUACAUCAUGCAGGAAGCAGGCAAGAAAAAAAUCCAUUGGCAUUACUUUCAGGUGGGCCUUGCUACGUGAUAUAGUGUAUGCCUUACAUGGUAUGGACUAUUCAUUAGGGCUGUUUUUAUUUUUAUUACCUUUAUUUUUAUUAGAUAUAUUACCUCCUGAGACUGUAUGAAGUGAACCAUGUCACUGGGUGAGAUUACUACUCAGUUAAUAGCAGUCCUGGAAUCAGUCAGUUGGG
Molecule: long non-coding RNA, 297 nt
Filed under: Zonotrichia albicollis (white-throated sparrow)
Lineage: Eukaryota; Metazoa; Chordata; Aves; Passeriformes; Passerellidae
Description: lncRNA (ENSZALG00000003867.1)
Source: RNAcentral